AACAAACGCUGGCGGCGUGCCUAAUACAUGCAAGUCGAACGGGGAAAGUAGCAAUACGAGUACUAGUGGCGCACGGGUGAGGAAUACAUGGGUAAUCUGCCUUCGAGCUCGGGAUAACCAGUCGAAAGACUGGCUAAUACCGGAUAUGACCACAAGAUCUGAGGAUCAAGGGGUAAAAGGUUUUUCGCUUGAGGAUGAGCCCAUGUGGGAUUAGCUAGUUGGUGUAGGUAACGGCUCACCAAGGCGACGAUCCCUAACUGGUCUUAGAGGACGAUCAGUCACACUGGAACUGAGACACGGUCCAGACUCCUACGGGAGGCAGCAGUAGGGAAUAUUGCACAAUGGAGGAAACCCUGAUGCAGCGACGCCGCGUGAGUGAUGAAGGCCUUCGGGUCGUAAAGCUCUGUCGUAUGGGAAUAACACAAUGAAUGUACCAUGCAAGAAAGGAUCGGCUAACUUCGUGCCAGCAGCCG
This 473-nucleotide ribosomal RNA is filed under the name uncultured bacterium. RNAcentral describes it as "bacterial SSU rRNA". It matches the Rfam family "Bacterial small subunit ribosomal RNA", at positions 29 to 517 of the family's 1533-position model. The record is from RNAcentral.